This 460-nucleotide ribosomal RNA is filed under the name uncultured bacterium. Its description in RNAcentral is "partial 16S ribosomal RNA". It matches the Rfam family "Bacterial small subunit ribosomal RNA", at positions 338 to 795 of the family's 1533-position model. The record is from RNAcentral.
CCUACGGGAGGCAGCAGUGAGGAAUAUUGGUCAAUGGACGAGAGUCUGAACCAGCCAAGUAGCGUGAAGGAUGACUGCCCUAUGGGUUGUAAACCUCUUUUAUAUGGGAAUAAAACGUUCCACGUGUGGGAUUUUGUAUGUACCAUAUGAAUAAGGAUCGGCUAACUCCGUGCCAGCAGCCGCGGUAAUACGGAGGAUCCGAGCGUUAUCCGGAUUUAUUGGGUUUAAAGGGAGCGUAGGUGGAUUGUUAAGUCAGUUGUGAAAGUUUGCGGCUCAACCGUAAAAUUGCAGUUGAAACUGGCAGUCUUGAGUACAGUAGAGGUGGGCGGAAUUCGUGGUGUAGCGGUGAAAUGCUUAGAUAUCACGAAGAACUCCGAUUGCGAAGGCAGUUCACUGGACUGCAACUGACACUGAGGCUCGAAAGUGUGGGUAUCAAACAGGAUUAGAUACCCUUGUAGUC